CGCGUAGGUGGGAAAGCAAGUCUGGGGUGCAAACUUGUGGCUUAACUGCAAGCUUGCCCUGGAUACUACUUUCUUGAAUUCGGGAGAGGGAAACGGAAUUCCUGGUGUAGCGGUGAAAUGCGUAGAUAUCAGGAAGAACACCGGUGGCGAAGGCGGUUUCCUGGCCCGAUAUUGACACUGAUGCGCGAAAGUGUGGGGAGCAAACA
Molecule: ribosomal RNA, 206 nt
Filed under: uncultured bacterium
Lineage: Bacteria
Description: partial 16S ribosomal RNA
Rfam family: Bacterial small subunit ribosomal RNA
Source: RNAcentral